Molecule: long non-coding RNA, 485 nt
Organism: Sorghum bicolor (sorghum)
Lineage: Eukaryota; Viridiplantae; Streptophyta; Magnoliopsida; Poales; Poaceae
Exons: 2
Source: RefSeq, a predicted model, not a curated record
UGUUCGGCCACCUAGUCACAAGAAGGGAAGUUGAUCAUCUUUCCUUAUGGCGGUGAUCAAGAGCAGCACAAUCGCCGCUCUCUUGGUUGUAGCCAUCCUGUCCUCACUGUCUCCACGCUACGAAGCUGGCGGCUGCUUGGGGAAACCCUGCCCAGAGCCGCCUCCGAAACAAAACUGCUUCUCAGCCUAUUCCGUAGAGCACUGUGACCGUCAGGGCUGCGGCUAUACCUGUUCCGAGCACGGUUUCCGUGAAGGUGGCUGGUGUGAGGACAGGCGCAUGACAUCAGCAUUGUGCUGCUGCCGUUAUUAGAAAUUAAUUAAUGAGAUAAGAUGCGUGAUGCAUAUGCAUCCACCAUCCUUCUGGUGCAUGCAUAUUGUUUAAUAAAAUCUGGGUUGAUCUGCUAGGUUUGCCCUAUCAACUGUAUCUUUUUGUAUCCUAUAAGUAAUAAAUCUGGUGUACCGAGUGACGGUGGUGUGUAUGAUUU